Molecule: non-coding RNA, 26 nt
Filed under: Mus musculus (house mouse)
Lineage: Eukaryota; Metazoa; Chordata; Mammalia; Rodentia; Muridae
Source: RNAcentral
UCACAGUGCUGCGUGGUAGUCAAGAG